This 119-nucleotide ribosomal RNA is filed under the name Pteropus alecto (black flying fox). Lineage: Eukaryota; Metazoa; Chordata; Mammalia; Chiroptera; Pteropodidae. The record is from RNAcentral.
GUCUACUGCUAUGCUACCCUAAACGUGCCCGAUCUUGUCUGAUCUCCGAAGUUAAGCAGGGUUGGGCUUGAUUAGUACUUGGAUGGGAGACCACCUAUGAAUCCCAGUUGCCAUAGGUG